GAUGAAGAACGCAGCGAAAUGCGAUAAGUAAUGUGAAUUGCAGAAUUCAGUGAAUCAUCGAAUCUUUGAACGCACAUUGCGCCCUCUGGUAUUCCGGGGGGCAUGUCUGUUCGAGCGUCAUUAUAACCACUCAAGCUCUCGCUUGGUAUUGGGGCUCGCGGUUCCGCGGCCCCUAAAAUCAGUGGCGGUGCCUGUCGGCUCUACGCGUAGUAAUACUCCUCGCGAUUGAGUCCGGUAGGUCUACUUGCCAACAACCCCCAAUUUUUACAGGUUGACCUCGGAUCAGGUAGGGAUACCCGCUGAACUUAAGCAUAUCAAUAAGCGGAGGA
This 329-nucleotide unclassified non-coding RNA is filed under the name soil metagenome. RNAcentral describes it as "partial contains 5.8S ribosomal RNA, internal transcribed spacer 2, and large subunit ribosomal RNA". The stretch from base 1 to 120 matches the Rfam family "5.8S ribosomal RNA", at positions 35 to 154 of the family's 154-position model. The record is from RNAcentral.